UAGAGGCCGCUGAAGCAUUCCUGAUGAAAAGACAAGAGCUGAGAAGAAAAUGUGACUUGCAAAUUGAAGACUCAAAAGCAGCAUUCAAAGGCAGGUAGAAGCAUUCAAGCUAGAAAGAGGUUUUGGAACUGAACCAUCUGGAUGGGGAUGAUGUAAAAUAGAUAGG
This is a long non-coding RNA of Sarcophilus harrisii (Tasmanian devil), 166 nucleotides long. RefSeq lists it as uncharacterized. The record is from RefSeq and is a predicted model, not a curated record. Lineage: Eukaryota; Metazoa; Chordata; Mammalia; Dasyuromorphia; Dasyuridae. The transcript is spliced from 2 exons.